RNAcentral lists this ribosomal RNA (429 nucleotides) under Gemmatimonadota bacterium. Its description in RNAcentral is "Gemmatimonadetes bacterium partial 16S ribosomal RNA". It matches the Rfam family "Bacterial small subunit ribosomal RNA", at positions 355 to 776 of the family's 1533-position model. Lineage: Bacteria; Pseudomonadati; Gemmatimonadota. The record is from RNAcentral.
UAGGGAAUCUUCGGCAAUGGACGAAAGUCUGACCGAGCAACGCCGCGUGAGUGAAGAAGGUUUUCGGAUCGUAAAACUCUGUUGUUAGAGAAGAACAAGGACGUUAGUAACUGAACGUCCCCUGACGGUAUCUAACCAGAAAGCCACGGCUAACUACGUGCCAGCAGCCGCGGUAAUACGUAGGUGUCAAGCGUUGUCCGGAUUUAUUGGGCGUAAAGCGAGCGCAGGCGGUUUCUUAAGUCUGAUGUGAAAGCCCCCGGCUCAACCGGGGAGGGUCAUUGGAAACUGGGAGACUUGAUUGCAGAAGAGGAGAGUUGAAUUCCAUUUGUAGCGGUGAAUUGCGUGGAUAUAUGGAGAAACACCAGUGGCGAAGGCUGCUCUCUGGUCUGUAACUGACGCUGAGGCUCGAAAGCGUGGGGAGCAAACAGG